UCGGCAAUCAUGGAGGCUUUCUCCAUGCCGGCAAGUGCAAACAUGUGCGCUCGCAGCGAUUUCGAAAAGUCAGUCGGUAGGUUCAAAGCACUGCAAUCUGCACAGUUCCGAGAGCACACGUGUUUCUGUUCGUCCUCGAAUGGAGAAAGCUUUGAUCUUUGUAUGUCGGUACUGUGGCGCGCCGUACGCGAACAAGUGCAAUGUGCAGAGACGCCUAGGUGCAGCGUGUAAACAUCACGCGUUUGUAGCAGAGAACCAGUUUGGCUGUAACAUGCAAGGACUCGUCAUGCUGUGUCCGAGCAGCGUCGUCUUCUGACUACGGCAUCUGAGGUUUGAAGACAUGGAAGGAAGCAGCAAAAAAGGAUACUUGCUUCAAUGCAAAAGGAAGUUUGUGGGAAAAGAGAAUUCUGUGCUCCCUCUGUGACUAAUCUGCAUGUUACACUUCACAAGGUAUGACAGUGGACGACAGUGACUAGUGGUCUUCCUUUGCUGUGCCAGAACUUUUGAUUCAGGGCCAUGGCAGUGGGCAAGAGGAGGAUUACGAAGGUCGCGUCCAACAGCUUAGUGGACUGAGUACUGCUGGCCUGCUGCAGAAUAGCUAGUGGCAACACUGGCUAUAAAAGAAAAUCUGACUCAGCAUGAAGACUUCGCAAGUCACUGAAGUAGUGGCCAAAGGCAAGACAUCUAUGUUUGUUUCUUAGGGCAGCUUGUGGGUGGACAUUCCGAGGGGAGUGUUCUUCAAGAAGAACUGACAGUGUUGAGGCUUCCAAGAUCUUUGCUACACCGCUCAUGCUGUGCUGGGAUUUGAGGUGGAAGACACUGAGAGCCCCUCUGUUGCUGUAAGAGUCAUCGGAAGUGGACUCGGGGGAAGUAAUCUCACUCCCAGGCCAUCAUUUUGAUCCGAGCCUUUGGAGUGCGUGUGACAAAGUGGUUCUGUAGGUAAACCGAUGAGCUACGAAAAGCGCGCACGCCACUUUGUACUUUCCAAUCGUGUUCAAACGGGCCGAGUUAAGCGGGAAUAUGGGGCUAUUCUUAGAAACAUCUAUGCGCCCACACGAUAGACGAAAAAACGAAAGGCGAGAAGACAUGCGGGUGCGCCCGUUAGUCUUCCCAUUUGCACGUAAGGACGAAAUUGGGUGCGCACGCAGAAAAUUGCAUCAAAAUGUUGAAUCCACAUGUGCGUUGAAGAGAGACCAAAAUUGAAUGGUGAAUGAAUUUAGACUGAUGACUUACUUUUUUAAGAACUGUUGUGUUGCAAAUAUCAUCAGUAGCAAAUGUUUAUAAUAGAAAAGACAAUGAUCAAAGGUUCGCCCUUAAAUUUAGCUCUGAGAUCUCUGCAUAUGAAUGUCAGUGUGAUGUCAUAGACUUUAAAAUGUUUCUUCGUAUAUUGGCCAUAGUAGUUUUACGAGGUUUCCUGAAACUUGGUACAUUAAGUCUCGGGCCCCCUUAUGAGGCAGUGUACUUCAUUUUAACUGUUUAAAGACUAUGCAGGCAUAAUAGACGAUGUCGAAAUCCAUGACAUCACAGGAAGUUGAUGUGAGAACUUCGUACUGACAUUGCCAGCUGCAUCAUCAUAGUGCAUGUGUUCUUGUUCUCCUUCUGGCAAGAGUUGACUGCGUUUGGUAUUGUAAAUUUGCUGAUUUGAGAAAAGAUUGUCCUUCUCUUUUACUGCCCUUCAAGAUACUUUUUAUAUUCUUGUUUUAUGAGACUGCGAAAGUUCCUGCUUGUGACGAAACAUGCUAUUGGGUGGGAACUACUUCGCAAGUUCGCUCAUUUGUUGUUUGUCGAGCAUCGCCGAUGUUUUAUGCAACUGUAAUACUGAGAACCCGGUUAUUUUGUUGCCAACCGCUGCUUUUUUUCCUGGUUGCUUCGUUGUUUUCAGUCAAUUCCAUCAUAGAUACCAUGGGAUUUAAUGCAUUGGAAACAUCGAAUCUAAGUCGAAAAUUUGGAAUCAUUCUAGGUCUAGGUAGACCCCGCUCCUAUCCCCCCCCCCCUUCCCUUCAAAAAAGUCCGAAGCCAGGAAAAUAAACGAAAAAAAACUUGAAUGUAGGCCGUAUAAAACAGCGAAGACAGUGUUUGCAAAAAUAAAACAUUUAUUGAACAUCAAUAUGAAACAAAGCAGUCGGUUCAUGAUGCAAAUAAUUCAAGAAGUGUAUACAGUCCUGUUGCCGUGUUUCUUUGUCGUUGUUUAUUUAGCACUGCUUCUAGUUAUUAGCGACAUAAAGAUGCCGUGCUUGCCGUUGCCGCGCUCAUUCCGAGUCGUCGUCGCUGACUUCUUUGUUGCUGUCUUCAAACAGUGCGUAAUUCUCGGUGCCAUCAAGCGCAUUGGAUAUUCCACACUUCUUUCCUGGGUUGCCGUCCCACACUGCAGCCCCUCCAGCAACGCAAAUUUUCUUGUCUACUCCAAAGUCCCGCUUGUCUCGAACGUUGGACGUUGACUCCCUGGCUAGGGCAACUUUUUUUUUAUAAGCGGCAAUAUAAUGACAUUGCCUGUAUGGGGCCAUUGAGCUAUGCCCCACACAGACCACUCAAAGCGCGACUCGACACUCGCCACAGAGAUCAAAAUGGCGGUCUCACGUGUGUACUUGAGCUAGGUGUUGGCUUGGUUACUUAUGGCUAUAAUACCGUUUAGGAGGCGCAAGUUGUGCACCAUUUUUCUCAAUGAAAAAUGGCACGUUUUUCAAAUUUUUUGAAUUUCAGCGGACCCUGGAGUUUGACAAAGAGAAAGUUGAAAAAAAAAAAAAACUAUCGGCCUAGAUUCGAAUAAUUACAGUAUGUUGCACAUUGCCACUACCAGUUGGCCCAAGUCAUGGUGGGUGAAAAUUGUAAGGUGUGAAAAGGAGCUUCUGAGAACAUUUUCCAAAACAUGUUGAUGCUGCCAUGGGAACUGGGAGUGAGCAGCCAUGGUACACAACCUUCGACAUAUAAAUCACCAUUACCCUGUGUGGCAGUCCUACAUUUUCGGUAAAAACUUUUUUUUCUAUUUUGAGUAAGCGUAAUUCCUCACAUAACAGUUCAAGUGCUCAACAUUUCCCACAUUUUCUCUCUUUCUUUUUCUGAUAUGAACUCAUCAAUUGAGAUUUGGUGCUUGAUAUAAACUUUGUAGAUUUAGUAUUAUCUCAUUUUUUGCAGUGGAAUUGCACGUGUGUUAUGAGAUGAAGAUAAUUAGAGAGAAUCAUGCUAUAUUUGGAACAUGCUAGCUUGCUUUAUUCACGUGCAGAACUUAGUUACAAGAGUCCCAUUUCACUGCUACAAAUGCAAAGCCAAGCAGUGUGGAUUGCAGCUUGAGAGGGAAGGUGGCGAUCAAAAAAAACUUUUUGCUUGGUUCUUGUGGCCCAUUCACAUAGGCAUGCACACGAAGCGGCAGAGGGGGGAAACAGCUCCCUCAUGGGAGAGGGGCGCCGUGAAGGACUUCGCCCCACCCCCACACGCCCAGGCGCAUUCACACUUGAGAAGCCAAGUGAAAACAAAACCCCAGAGAGGUCGAAAAACCACAUCCACAUGCGUCAAAAACAUUCACAUUCUUUCUACCCCUCGUACAUACUACUGCUCCCACCGCCUUCACCUCAUUGAGAAUUCAUUCCAUUUUGCUCGUUUUCUGAGCAAUAAAUUUCAUACCACAUUCUAGUUAUGCUUGCAAAGCACUAUAAAGAAAUACCGUAAAUACCCGCGUAUAAUACGAACCCGAAUAUAAUACAGUCGACUCCCGUUAAUACGAAGUUCACGAGAACCGCA
Molecule: long non-coding RNA, 3735 nt
Organism: Rhipicephalus microplus (southern cattle tick)
Lineage: Eukaryota; Metazoa; Arthropoda; Arachnida; Ixodida; Ixodidae
Source: RefSeq, a predicted model, not a curated record